This 432-nucleotide ribosomal RNA is filed under the name uncultured bacterium. RNAcentral describes it as "partial 16S ribosomal RNA". It matches the Rfam family "Bacterial small subunit ribosomal RNA", at positions 29 to 507 of the family's 1533-position model. The record is from RNAcentral.
ACGCACGCUGGCGGCAUGCCUAACACAUGCAAGUCGAACGAGACCUUCGGGUCUAGUGGCGCACGGGUGCGUAACGCGUGGGAACCUGCCCUUAGGUUCGGAAUAACUCCCCGAAAGGGGUGCUAAUACCGGAUAAUGUCUUCGGACCAAAGAUUUAUCGCCUUUGGAUGGGCCCGCGUUGGAUUAGCUAGUUGGUAGGGUAAAAGCCUACCAAGGCGACGAUCCAUAGCUGGUCUGAGAGGAUGAUCAGCCACACUGGGACUGAGACACGGCCCAGACUCCUACGGGAGGCAGCAGUGGGGAAUAUUGGACAAUGGGCGAAAGCCUGAUCCAGCAAUGCCGCGUGAGUGAUGAAGGCCUUAGGGUUGUAAAGCUCUUUUACCCGGGAUGAUAAUGACAGUACCGGGUGAAUAAGCUCCGGCUAACUCCGUG